UACAAUGAAGGUGAAUUGUCUGUUUAUUUAAAAAAAAAAAACAAAACAAAAACGAAAGAUCAAUUCUGGAAAAUUUAAUAAAUGAUUUUGAUAAAUUCUACCCAAUUUGGAAACAGAAGAAAGCAUUUAAAUAAAUAAAUAAAUAAAGGUUACACCAGAGAAUUACUUUUGAACUGUCACUAAAUUCACCAUAGCUGAUUUCUUCUGCUUGCGUCAUGUUUCAAAUCUACUCUCUCCCUUCCCCAAAGGUCAGGUCAAGGACUGGCAUGUGUGGUGCAUGUCAAGACCUGUGUCUAAAGAUUGAGACUAAGCCACCACAGCACUUCAUUCUCCCCUGUUCACUUCCACUGCCUGUUUAACACCGCUUCUCUGACCUUAACUGUGCCCACUAUUUUGCCACAGUAUCUGUGACGGAACCUAUUCUCUUUGCUUCAUACCUUGCUUGUCAAAAUGUUGGUGAAAACUUCAAGAGAGUUUUGUUACACGCUGAAAUUUGUCAGAAAAGGGGGAGCAGGUAAAAUGCUGUAAGAUUUAAGUCUGAACUAUUUUUGAGGUCACAACAAAUUUGUCUCAUGGAGUCUUUUUCUCUCCAGGCUUUCCCAGAGGCAGGUCCGUGCGCAGGUUUGAUGCAGCUGAAAUAGGCUACGUCAGUUUCAGUACACUGCAAACGCUUUGGGAUGUGCAAACUUCACCCAUUAGCUAGUUUUGCUGGCUGUGCAGCAUGGCUUACGUGCUCUUGGUGAAGCCCAAGCUGAACUCAUUUAAGCUCAAAGCUACACCCUACUGUUUAGCAAGAACACAAGAUGUGCAGACUGACUUGUGAUUAGUGUCAUGGCCUCAGGUCUUUGAAAAGACUAAAUUGAAGUAUAUUCUUGAGAGAUAUUUGGCAAUUUAAAGAAAUGCAUCAGUUUCACAUAGAAUUGACUAUAUUACUAAAUAAAUUCUGAAAAUGAUUGUACUUAAGUCUACUGAACCACAACUCUAGUCCUCUACAUUAUUUGAUGAGGAAGUACUUCCACACAAGCAAAUACAAUGCAGUUAAAAUUAUUGUCACAAGGGAACUGAACUUAAGUCAGGCAGCUGCUUACUACCUCCCUUUAUGUAACGAUAGAAAAAUGCCUUGGCCAUGCCAGUGGGAUGUGCACCCAGGUGUCUGCGAUGGCACACAGCUGCUGCAGAGCAUCGUGCCCUGUGCAAGCAGUGCUUUCCUCCCCUCUGCUGUCCUUGCUCUCCCGAUAGCUGGGUCAGGCUGGUGCAGUGCAGCAUGCUGUAUCUCGUCCUGCCAGCCCCAGCCCCAGCAGUCUCUGACCUUUUCCAGACCUGAUAUUUGUGAGCUGACAGCAGCUCAGGCCCAGCUUGUGCCAGACUGGUUGUUUUGCUCUGUGAUGAUGGACGAAACAUGAUGCGGCUCUGAUCUGUAUAGCAAGCAGCAUGGCUUGUCAGAGGUCUGAGAGCAUAGAAUUGACUUCUAAAUAAUGGGAACAAUACUAGUAGCAAUUAAAAAGUAUAAUUCCUGCAAAUCUGUCUUUUUUCCUUUAUUUUUUUUUCCUUUCUUCUGUCUCAAAUCAGAAACUGGUUAGUAAGUAAAACAGCGGAUUUCUGCAACAACACUUCUGUCAAGGAAACAUUCUGUACCUGAAUUAACAGUCUUUAAGGCAUUGGUUGCUAUAUGGGUUAUUUGGAUUUAUGGCAACUAUUGGACUUUAAACAUAACCUGUGUCAAAAUGCCAGUUUUCUCCUUUUGUCCUGUAAUCCUCACUGGGGCAGUCCUGCAGGGCUACUGGCUCUGUGCAGUAGAGCUGACACCUGGGUGGCCCCAGUCCACAGCUGUGGCUGUGGGUCUUAAGCUGGAGAGUGGGAUGUGGGUGCCCUGGUGGCGAUGGCCAGGGGCAGGGGGCGGCGAUGCAGCAGGAGGAGGAUGCCAGGGCUGGCUGUGGCCACGCUCCGUCAUACCGCAGGAAUCUCUGCCCUGGGGUGAUGGUCAGCGCCCGAUUAGGAAAAGGCUAAAUGUCAACAUUGUUCUGAACUGCUAACUGGAAAUAUUCCAAGAGCAUUUCAGACACGAGACUUUGGAGUUUUUCUCCUCCUCCUUCCUCAUCCAGCUGCAGUAACUCAUUCUGUCAAGGCCUGAGUGCUGUCCCUUCAGACCUUCAGAUAAAUCCUUUACAGCAACGACUCUAAAAGCUGCCGUAGUGUCUCUUUCUGUCUGUCUGUCUUUCUGUCUUCCCUUCAUCUUCACUAAUUUAUAUGGUGGAGAGUGUCAGCCUGGUAAGGGGACGGCAGUCCUGUGUACAAGGUGGGGGGAGCGGAGCGGGGGCUGAGAGCCCUGCUUUGACACAUGGGGCUUUGCUUUUUGCAGAGGUCAUUAGUGCUCUGCUUGGUGACCACAGCUCGAUUACAAACACCGUGGAGUGGUGACACUGUGCCAAACCGUUUGGAGAGGAGGCCUGUGUUUUUUACUCCCCUUGUCUGAUUUGUUUU
This 2481-nucleotide long non-coding RNA is filed under the name Gallus gallus (chicken). Lineage: Eukaryota; Metazoa; Chordata; Aves; Galliformes; Phasianidae. The record is from RNAcentral.